AGUGAACGCUGGCGGUAGGCCUAACACAUGCAAGUCGAACGGCAGCACAGUAAGAGCUUGCUCUUACGGGUGGCGAGUGGCGGACGGGUGAGGAAUACAUCGGAAUCUACUUUUUCGUGGGGGAUAACGUAGGGAAACUUACGCUAAUACCGCAUACGACCUACGGGUGAAAGCAGGGGAUCUUCGGACCUUGCGCGAUUGAAUGAGCCGAUGUCGGAUUAGCUAGUUGGCGGGGUAAAGGCCCACCAAGGCGACGAUCCGUAGCUGGUCUGAGAGGAUGAUCAGCCACACUGGAACUGAGACACGGUCCAGACUCCUACGGGAGCGAGCAGUGGGGAAUAUUGGACAAUGGGCGCAAGCCUGAUCCAGCCAUACCGCGUGGGUGAAGAAGGCCUUCGGGUUGUAAAGCCCUUUUGUUGGGAAAGAAAAGCAGCAGGUUAAUACCCCGCUGUUCUGACGGUACCCAAAGAAUAAGCACCGGCUAACUUCGUG
This 492-nucleotide ribosomal RNA is filed under the name uncultured bacterium. RNAcentral describes it as "partial 16S ribosomal RNA". It matches the Rfam family "Bacterial small subunit ribosomal RNA", at positions 29 to 507 of the family's 1533-position model. The record is from RNAcentral.